AUUAUCAGAUAUAGUUUCUAGACAAAUCAAAGACAAGUACAAUACUGGUAAAAUGGUGUUUGAAUAAGUUUUCAUUUCUGAAAGUUUGCACGGCCAAAGUGCCCGAAGUUGCAUAAUCACCCAGCAACGUGUAUUACUAUGUGGUUAUGUUUAUGGUGCAGAUAAUUCAUUUACAGACAGUACACGCACAGAUCAAAAUUGAAUAUCUUUAUCUCUUACAGAACACGUAGUAUGGAAAUGGAACGAAAUGUCUUCAUCCGCUCUGCUAGGUGGCAGCACUGAGAACGUGGAGGUCUUGGAACAAAAUCAGCAACAGUAGUCACUACUUCCCUUGCGCUGUGGAUACAUGUGGUAUUAUUUAUCUUGGAAUGCAACAGUGUUUCUUGCAAACGGGGAUUGCAAUUAUUUCUCUGAAAUGAAAUGUACUGGCUUCUCAGUAAACCGACUCGUACCAGCCAUGACCGCUGCAGAUUGUUGUCUCCGUCCCUACAGAUGAUGACCAGCUCUGUCUUUAAAGGAGAGGACAAGGCAUCCCCCACAGGGUUCCAGCCUAGAGCUACAAGACCCUGAGACAUUAGUUUAACAGAACAAGUUUCUCUGCCCAGAUUGAGACUAGGGGUAAUGUUCCCCUGCUCAGACGUUGCAUUCAUUAACCAGUGGUUGCGUGCCACACCUUCGACUGUGUCAUCGACUGACAGAUUGCUGUAACAUGAUUUGGUUAGUUAAUACAAUGCCUGGAUAGGUAUAUUAAGUAAGAUCUGUCAGGCGUCAGCAACUUUUGAGCAGAGAAACUCGCCUUACAUCACCUCAAAAUGGAGGGAGAUAAACUAAUUUCUUUACCUAUCGUGAGACUCCACAGACUAACGAAGGAUCAACUGUCUCUCGCUGCUCAGAAGAACAAUAACAAACCAGGGAGAAAACCAACAAAUAAGAAAAACUUCACCACCACCAGAGGAAAGAAACAAUCCACAGGAAAAGGAAACGACUCUGCUGACAGCAAAAGUGUUUCUAGCCAGGAAUCGCCGGCCCCUAAGUGGUGGGGUCGCCCCAAGGGAAGCAAAAACAAACCCAAGAUAAGUCUACAACUCUCCAGCGCCAUCUUGAGGCCUGACGAGGUAAAACAAGAGGUAAAACAAGAGAUGGACGAGCUGCCUAUCGAAAUGAGAAGUGAUGAACACUGGUUGAACGCUGUGAAGCCAGAAAGCUACGACCCAGAGAUGGGUAACACCAAGGGACCUCCUACAGAGAGCGACCCCAGGACAGAUGCACAUCACCUGGGUAUCAAGACAGAGGAUGCCCCCCUGUACCACCAGGAUGGAGGGAGACGUCUACGGUCGGCUACCAGCCAGCCGUUCAAUCUGACUGCAUUCCGGUCCGACCCAGAAUGGCGGCCUCGCAACCAGAAGGUCCGCCGGUUUCCGUGCCCAGAUUGUGGACGGAAGUUCUUCUCCAAAACCACACUGGAGUUACAUUCCCGGAUCCACACCCAGUACCGGCCGUACUCCUGUGAGGUGUGCCAUAAAACGUUCUCCCGGAAAGCCGGCUUGGACGAGCACCGGCCAAUCCACGAUGCGGAACGUCCUUUCACCUGCCUCCAAUGCGGCAGGACCUUCACGUUCAAAUCCAACCUGACCCGGCACAUGCGGUUCCACAGCGAUGCACGGCCCUACGUCUGCCCCCAGUGCGGCCAAAGCUUCAAGAUCUCCGCCCACCUGAAGCGCCACAUGACGGCCCACAGCGGGUAUAAACCGUACGUGUGCCCGGAGUGCGGCCAGAGUUACAUGAGUUACAUGAGUCUGAAGUAUCACCGACUGAGCCACACCGGCGAGCGCCCGCUGUCCUGCCCAGAGUGUCCCAUGACCUUUGCCCGACCGCACAUCCUUAUGAUCCACCGGCGACAGCACACCGGGGAGACGCCUUUCUCUUGCCAGGACUGUGGGAACCAGUUCAAACAGCGGUGCAAGCUGAAAGAACACAUUAGAAGGAAACACAGGGGAGAAACCUUAUAAAUGCUCCGAUUGCGACAAGUGCUUUGUCACUUCUACUUUGCGUAAAGUGCACAUGGUUGUUCACACAGGGGAGAAGCCGUACAAAUGCAUGGAGUGCUGUAGGAGCUACAGUCAGAGUGGGUCCCUGAAGAGGCCCAGGUGUAAGAAGAAACCCAGUGGCAGCGUUGAGGCAACACUGGGCAGGGUCAGAGUUCAGCAGGAAACACCAUCAUUGGCAGAGAGGCCUUCUGAGUGGACUUCUCUAUGGUUGCCAUGACCACAGAUUGUGAGAGUUGGACCAGGCCAGCUGCUACUACCGCUAGAGGGUCAACCGGACGGGCCUCCCGCUGCUCCCGCCACGUCGUCGACACCCUGGGCCUUUCCGCCGCACCAGGACCCCACGCGUUCCUGCUGGUGAUCAGGGGGUGAGGUUCACAGAGGAGGAAAGGGAUACCCUCGUGAGGUGGAUCCAGGAGAACUUUAGAGAAGAGUCUUUAAUGUUCACCAUGGUGCUGUUCACUGGGGGAGACCAGCUAGAGGGGAAACCAGUGGAGGACCUACUGAAGGACAACAGUCAACUGCUACAACUAAUCAGUACCUGCAGGGACAGAUAUCAUGUCUUCAACAACAAGGAGAAAGGUGACCACACUCAGGUCACUGAGCUGCUGGAGAAGAUAGAGGAGAUGGUGGAGAGCAAUGGUGGAAACCACUUCAAUGUCAACACACACCCAGUAAGGGAGAAAGAAGCGUCUGGUGUGGUGGUCACCAUGGUGAUGUUAGUGGCAGUUGGAGCUGUGUUCAAAUUGAUGGUUGAUGACUUACUGUAUGGAGCAAAAUACAAGAUGGUGGGAACUUGGAGAGAAAAGAAAGUGAAAAUGAAAGGUUGACUCCUGAAAAAUUGUGAAAAUCAAUGUAUUCUUAUGACUACAUUGAAUUACAGAGCUUUGAUCUAAGUUUUGGUUAGACUCAUUGUUGACAUUUAUUUACUCCCAUUUUAUGAGUGUGAAUGAUGGUCAUAUGUCAUUAAGGAGAGAUAUAAUUGUCAAAACAUAUUGUAUCUCUAUCAUACAUUGUUGUCCAACACAAUUUGUAUGCUGAAAUCAAAAUCAGUAACAAAUCAUGAAAUAAAUUGAGAUUUUUAUGAAAAAAAUUAUUUAACAAAUGAAUGAAAAGAU
Salmo salar (Atlantic salmon) is the source of this 3163-nucleotide non-coding RNA. Lineage: Eukaryota; Metazoa; Chordata; Actinopteri; Salmoniformes; Salmonidae. The record is from RefSeq and is a predicted model, not a curated record.